UUGUUAUUCUGCAAUGUGAAAGGUCUGGAAAAGGCUUGUGGCUCAUCGUGUGUUCUCCUUUGGGAUCCCAUGGCCUAGAUGCUGGAAUCUCCUAGUGUCUAAUGUGUGCUUUGUCACCGAGUUCAGCUGUCUAGCACUGAUGUCUUAACACCGUCUGAGAUAUUUCAGGAUACCCCCUCUGGCCUCUAGCUGCUCCUGAAGGAGUCCCGGAGCUGCCGUCCCCUACCCUUAAGGGCGGAAAGCUGAGUGCAUGCAAGAUGGAGGGCUGCUGCUGGGGUUGCCGCAGCCAAAUGAGGGCCUACAGGGUCAGGUUGGCUGCUCUCACAGGAACGCGUUGGCAUGGCCAAUGUUGGGCAAAACAAAGGCCAGUCAGUAAACAUCUCCCGCCUGCCAAAAGCACAAAGGGCACCACAGGAAGAGGCCUGCAGACUUUGCACCCAGCACUUGUGCAGGGGAUCGUCGGCUCUCUGCAUUUCUACGAUCCAGAAUGCUUUCACAAAAUGUGGCCAGGGCAGAUAUACAAGUUUCUGGCUGGGACUCAGGUAUUACGACUGUUGGUUUUGGUGGACAGAAAAAGUCCCUUUCUGUUCAUUUAUAAGCUGUUUGAGACUUUGAAAAGCCAGCCCGUGGCUCUGUCGCAGGGCCAAGCCUCGUAGCUGUUCUGGAACAGGCUACAGCAUCCGCUGAAACCCGUGCCCAUGUUGAACCGCAUCCAGCGCUGUCAGCACACGCCACAGCGCGCUGGCAUUGAGGACUUGCAGUGGGCACGUGGGCCUGGCGGGACGGUUCCUGUACGCUUCCUGAGCUGGAGUGAUUUAAGCCUCCUGGCACGUGGCCCACUGCAUCACACGGCUCUGAAACACUCAGAUAUGCCGGUGUGCCUGCGGCUGCAGAGGAAGAAGAGGCUGCUGCAGCCAGCUGCUGGAGAUUAGCACCCGUUCCUAACUACAUGCACAGUUAGUGCCUAAUCCGGAGCUGUCAGUAAGGUCUGGGCUAACAUGCACAUAUUUAACAGCUGGUUUUUCUGAGCCUGGAUCACUCUGACUAUAACCUGGCUAAGGAGUAAUGCCACGUGCAAUCAUGCCAUGAGGUCUGUGGGGCAGCAGCAGUCUUUGCUUAUCAUAUGGAGUGAGCUGCUCAGUGUAGGCAGGGGCAAUGCAGCCAGACACAGUUCCAGACCCAAAUACUUACUAUGAAUAUUCUCUGCAGCCUCAGGUGGACACAACAGGCAUGCAGGAUUUUCAGGUCGCAUAUUCCAGUUGUGCCUGGCCCUGGGCAGCUGAGGGCUUGCUGCUGGUUGCCUCUGAGAUGGUUUCAGGUUCUCUCUCUUUCAAGCCACCACCCUCAUUGCUUUCAGUUCCUCUGCAUGCCUCUGCACGCUGAACUUCUCUUCUGUGCCUGAGACAUGAGGCAGCAGCCAGGCUGUCCCAGUCAACCAAGCCAGAGAUGCUCAUCCCUGUGGUGCAUGGAAAAAUUGAAAUGCUUCCCAUGUGAGAGUAGAAAAUUUCCCCAUACCAGACCACAUUUCUGCUUGCUUCCCUUUCCCUGGAAGCAGGGCAAGAUGUCCCCGGUGUGGGACAAUCCACUGGGGACCCACGGUAAGUCUUUUACACAAACAUGUUCCGGAGUUCAAGAGGAAUUUGAACAACACUCUCAGAAACACAGGUUGUGUGUUCCUGUGUAGAACCUGAGCUCGAUGGAGGAGCUGGGCUGGAUUCAGUGAUCCUUGUGGGAUGUUUUUAGGACAAACUUUGUUGCUGAUAGGAUCAAGGGGAAAAAAUGCAAUGUGAAUGAUUAUAAAACUGUGCAUGGAUUGGAGAUGGGAGUUGGUGUCUGUUCUGGUGAAUUCAGAGCUUAUUAGCAAUGACAAAUGGCCACUGGUUGGCAUCAUGGGUGCAGGUUUCCUGUGACAGAUUCUGCCUUUCACAAUUACCAUCACUAAAAUACUUGAAAAUAUGUCUUCGUUUGCUAAAAUACCCCAAAAUGUGUAAUUUUCAAGAAGAAGAAGUGUACAGACCAGGGACACUGGUUAGUUUAUAUAGACACACGACUCCCUGUGCCCUCUCAUGGAAAUUUUACCAUCUUCAUCCUUUCGAAACUCCAGAGUCAGGAGAAGAAAUUUCAGCUGUGCCUCAUAAACCAGCAUUUCUAAAACAGCCACAAGUCUUUGGAGGGGAUCCCUGCACCUACCUGCCAGGCAUUCAGACCUGGGGAUUAUGAGACACCAAACGCCAGGCAGAGUUUUACAAGUCAUUCUUAGUUCCCUGUUGGUGAACGUCAAUGAAAAAAGGACCUAAAAGGAACAUUUUGUGAAGAUGUUCCUUGCUCUAUGAAACAAGAACUGUUGUGGUAGAGUCCCCGUUGUCCUCAUCCUUUCACCUAACUGACGUGCUUAUUGCUUAAUCCUGUCUUAUAUGGAUUCCAACCUCAGAUCAUGUGGGAAAAGUGGGACUUGAUUAAGACCUAAUUGCCUGUUGUAUAUGCUUGAUAACUUUAAGGUAUGUGUAUGAGGGGCCUGAGGAAGCAAAUGGUACAAAUGACGUCAGUUCAUCCCCUGGACAAAAAUUAAUUUGCC
Gallus gallus (chicken) is the source of this 2575-nucleotide long non-coding RNA. The record is from Ensembl. Lineage: Eukaryota; Metazoa; Chordata; Aves; Galliformes; Phasianidae.